Long non-coding RNA from Cataglyphis hispanica, 1187 nucleotides. RefSeq lists it as uncharacterized. NCBI's taxonomy places the organism in Eukaryota, Metazoa, Arthropoda, Insecta, Hymenoptera, Formicidae. The record is from RefSeq and is a predicted model, not a curated record. The transcript has 3 exons.
UAUAUAUUUCUUGUAUUAUAUAUUUCUCAAAUUUUAGCAAAUCUUUACAACAGAUGAUAUAAAUAAUUCUAUCCCUUUAUAUGUCUCAACAGGAAAAUCAAUUUUUUUGUUAAUGUUUUUAAAGAGCUUAUAUUCUGAAAUUUCUAUUCCCUUUAAAUAUAUCUUGUACCCUAAAAAGAAAAAAAAAAGAAACAAAAGAUUUUUUUUUUUUUUUUGCUAAAAUAAUUUUAUUUUUGCUGCAUAUAAAAUUUAAACGCGAUCUGUAUUCGAAAAUCGUAUAAAUCGUGUCGGUCAACAUCGACGACAUGAUAAAUGACGAAUCAGGGAUAAUUUAAAACAUUUCAUAUGCAUAUACCGACAAUUGUGCCAUGUGCCUCGGCAAUCAUACAAUUGGCGAAUAUUCAAUUAUAUAAUCGAACUACCGGCGUGUAGUGCCAUGACACUAGGCACGUACGUCGUAUGUCUACAAAAUUUACUGUUUCUCGUUGCUUUAUUGUAAUCGUUGAACAAUAACGGGAGUUGCACGUGCAAUCAUCUUCGCGAACAUAUAUUUAAGAAAAUAACAUUAUGAACUGUGUAUUUCGAUGAUUGGCUUGAGUAUCGACAAUUGCGGUCCACGAUUGUAAUUGAUGCUUAGAAUAAUUAAUUAACCGUCUUUUUGCUCAAGUGAGUUGAACAUAUAUGUGAUAUCAUCAAAUUUAUUUUAUCAAAAUUUUUAUAUUUUUUUAUCGCAUGAUAUAUACAUUUUAAUAUUGACGGAUCGUUUCAGAUUUAGCGACGAUGGUGCAAAAUAUCUACAGAUUAAUCUGCGCGUCUGAUAUUAGAUAGUGCGUCCAAAAUUUUCCGUUGAUGAAUCUCAAAUCGAUGCUUUAAUUGGCCAAGCAUAACAGUAAUUUUCUUUAAGGAAAUUGUGCUUACCAGUGAGCCAAUGGCAGAAUAUUUGGGAUUUUCCGGAAAUAGAUAAAUAUCGAAGAGGAUCCAAAAACCUCUCCAGACGAAAGCAACCAACGUGCCAACAACACCGACGCUAAAGGCACAAUCCAAUUGUAAGAUUGCAAUCUUACAUUGGACAACUCGGUUUGCGGCACACCCCGAGUGAGGUGAGAGAUGAAUACUUACGUUGACGCGGAACAUAGUUUGUACUUCGAAGUAACCCGGACACGAGUCGAGAACAAGCGAAAACGGUG